Long non-coding RNA from Neopelma chrysocephalum (saffron-crested tyrant-manakin), 677 nucleotides. RefSeq lists it as uncharacterized. The transcript is spliced from 3 exons. NCBI's taxonomy places the organism in Eukaryota, Metazoa, Chordata, Aves, Passeriformes, Pipridae. The record is from RefSeq and is a predicted model, not a curated record.
UUCUAAGAAAAAAAAUCUUAUCAAGGCUCCAAAGACCACAAACGUGAACCUCCCCAUAGGCAGGAUCUGUGCAACAUGCUGAUCACUGUGAAGGGGUUGUCUCACACUGUGACAGCCAGGGGCCUCAGCAUCAGGAGGGACAUAAGACUGCUGACACCUUUACCAGUGCUACUAUUCCUUAUGCAAUAAACCAGUCAACAAGCCUUGAGAACCCAUGCAUUCAUCCCAAAUGAACCAGCACCUCCUCGCUGCAAAACAGCAACCUGCCUUUGGCUAGGGUUCUGACACCAGAUGGACCUAUAGUGAACUCUGUAUUCUCCGGUCCAGGCAAAGCUACAUUCGUUGGUCCUGACUACACUACAUCCACUGAAUCCACAGUACUGACCUGGGCUUUGAGAAGGAUAUCACUCAGUUAGGAAGUGAUUUCAGAAAGCAAGAAUGAUGACAAACCUGACAAAAUAAGAGAACAAAGAUGAUAGGCAGCAACUUUACUGAAGGUGUAAGGAUGCUGGAGGGAGCAACAUUCCAAGGCAAUCCAUUGCUUUUUCUAGAAUUACUGCUGGUUUCUGCAGGAUCUGUCCAAAAAAGUAACUAAAGCUCCUGUCAUAAUCAAUCAAGAGGAGGAGCCCAAGGACAAUUAAGAGGAGCCCAAGCGAUGCAGAGGUGUCUCAGUAGCU